This 427-nucleotide ribosomal RNA is filed under the name Gemmatimonadota bacterium. RNAcentral's name for it is "Gemmatimonadetes bacterium partial 16S ribosomal RNA". It matches the Rfam family "Bacterial small subunit ribosomal RNA", at positions 355 to 776 of the family's 1533-position model. The record is from RNAcentral. Lineage: Bacteria; Pseudomonadati; Gemmatimonadota.
UAGGGAAUCUUCGGCAAUGGACGAAAGUCUGACCGAGCAACGCCGCGUGAGUGAAGAAGGUUUUCGGAUCGUAAAACUCUGUUGUUAGAGAAGAACAAGGACGUUAGUAACUGAACGUCCCCUGACGCUAUCUAACCAGAAAGCCACGGCUAACUACGUGCCAGCAGCCGCGGUAAUACGUAGGUGGCAAGCGUUGUGGAUUUAUUGGGCGUAAAGCGAGCGCAGGCGGUUUCUUAAGUCUGAUGUGAAAGCCCCCGGCUCAACCGGGGAGGGUCAUUGGAAACUGGGAGACUUGAGUGCAGAAGAGGAGAGUGGAAUUCCAUGUGUAGCGGUGAAAUGCGUAGAUAUAUGGAGGAACACCAGUGGCGAAGGCGGCUCUCUGGUCUGUAACUGACGCUGAGGCUCGAAAGCGUGGGGAGCAAACAGG